RNAcentral lists this long non-coding RNA (223 nucleotides) under Panax ginseng (ginseng). RNAcentral's name for it is "long non-coding RNA (PGIN_LNC010204)". Lineage: Eukaryota; Viridiplantae; Streptophyta; Magnoliopsida; Apiales; Araliaceae. The record is from RNAcentral.
AAAGUUGCGAGGAAGGGAGAAAAAAGAUCACCACUUAAACUUGGGAAAUUUGUUAUUUCCGCAAGGAAAAUUUGGUAUUUUCACAAGGCGUUUACUCACAUGAAUGUGGAUCCCAUUUACUAUUUAUGUGAGAAAUGUCGUGUGGAACUAUCAAAUUACCUUGUGGAAACAUCAAUUCCCUACACUCGUGAGAAGUCAUAUCUACGUCAGACAGACAAUCGAG